CAAGAAUGGUGCCUCCGCAGUAAGGCUCCGGGUAAGACCGGAGCCGAAAGGGAAGCCGGUGAGAAGCCGGCACGGUCCCGCCACUGUAACCGGGUUUCGCGAGAAGGAGCGCGAAGACCCGGGAGUCAGACACCUGCUGUAGAGGAGGAGCAGAC
Molecule: non-coding RNA, 155 nt
Organism: Actinobacteria bacterium RBG_16_64_13
Lineage: Bacteria; Bacillati; Actinomycetota
Source: Rfam